Molecule: ribosomal RNA, 253 nt
Filed under: uncultured bacterium
Lineage: Bacteria
Description: partial 16S ribosomal RNA
Rfam family: Bacterial small subunit ribosomal RNA
Source: RNAcentral
UACAGAGGUCUCAAGCGUUGUUCGGAUUCAUUGGGCGUAAAGGGUGCGUAGGUGGCGCGUUAAGUCAGGUGUGAAAUUUCGGAGCUUAACUCCGAAACUGCAUUUGAUACUGGCGUGCUUGAGGACUGGAGAGGAGACUGGAAUUUACGGUGUAGCGGUGAAAUGCGUAGAUAUCGUAAGGAAGACCAGUGGCGAAGGCGGGUCUCUGGACAGUUCCUGACGCUGAGGCACGAAGGCCAGGGGAGCAAACGGG